ACGGUCGUAUCACGUUGAAACACCGGUUCUCGUGCAAUCAGUGAAGUUAAGCAAUGUCGAUCCUGGUCAGAACCUAGAUGGGAGACUGCUUGGGAAUACCAGGUGCUGUAA
This is a non-coding RNA of Acanthosepion pharaonis, 111 nucleotides long. The record is from the annotation of a GenBank genome assembly. NCBI's taxonomy places the organism in Eukaryota, Metazoa, Mollusca, Cephalopoda, Sepiida, Sepiidae.